UGGGGAAUUUUGGACAAUGGGGGAAACCCUGAUCCAGCCAUCCCGCGUGUGCGAUGAAGGCCUUCGGGUUGUAAAGCACUUUUGGCAGGAAAGAAACGUCAUGGGUUAAUACCCCGUGAAACUGACGGUACCUGCAGAAUAACCACCGGCUAACUACGUGCCAGCAGCCGCGGUAAUACGUAGGGUGCAAGCGUUAAUCGGAAUUACUGGGCGUAAAGCGUGCGCAGGCGGUUCGGAAAGAAAGAUGUGAAAUACCAGAGCUCAACUUUGGAACUGCAUUUUUAACUACCGGGCUAGAGUGUGUCAGGGGGAGGUGGAAUUCCGCGUGUAGCAGUGAAAUGCGUAGAUAUGCGGAGGAACACCGAUGGCGAAGGCAGCCUCCUAGGAUAACACUGACGCUCAUGCACGAAAGCGUGGGGAGCAAACAGG
Molecule: ribosomal RNA, 429 nt
Filed under: Acidobacteriota bacterium
Lineage: Bacteria; Pseudomonadati; Acidobacteriota
Description: Acidobacteria bacterium partial 16S ribosomal RNA
Rfam family: Bacterial small subunit ribosomal RNA
Source: RNAcentral